GGCUUUAUAGUGUAGUUGGUUAUCACUACGGGUUCUGAUUCCGUCGACCUGAGUUCGACUCUCAGUAAAGCCA
RNAcentral lists this transfer RNA (73 nucleotides) under Fistulifera solaris. It matches the Rfam family "tRNA". Rfam says of the family: Transfer RNA (tRNA) molecules are approximately 80 nucleotides in length. Their secondary structure includes four short double-helical elements and three loops (D, anti-codon, and T loops). Lineage: Eukaryota; Bacillariophyta; Bacillariophyceae; Naviculales; Stauroneidaceae. The record is from Rfam by way of RNAcentral.